RNAcentral lists this ribosomal RNA (774 nucleotides) under uncultured Neocallimastigales. Its description in RNAcentral is "partial large subunit ribosomal RNA". It matches the Rfam family "Eukaryotic large subunit ribosomal RNA", at positions 23 to 645 of the family's 3401-position model. Lineage: Eukaryota; Fungi; Neocallimastigomycota; Neocallimastigomycetes; Neocallimastigales. The record is from RNAcentral.
AGAGAGAGACAUGCGCGCAUAUCAAUAAGCGGAGGAAAAGAAACUAACAAGGAUUCCCUUAGUAACGGCGAGUGAAGCGGGAAGAGCUCAAAUUUGAAAUCUUCAAGGUUUUACCUUGACGAAUUGUAGUUUAAAGAAGUGUUUUCUGCUGAAGUUUUGGUAAAAGUUCUUUGGAAUAGGACAUCAUAGAGGGUGAGAAUCCCGUAUUUGACCAUUAUUUUCAGCUUUGUGAUACACUUUAAAGAGUCGGAUUGUUUGGGAAUGCAGUCCAAAAUGGGUGGUAAAUUUCAUCUAAAGCUAAAUACUGGCGAGAGACCGAUAGCGAACAAGUACCGUGAGGGAAAGAUGAAAAGAACUUUGAAAAGAGAGUUAAACAGUACGUGAAAUUGUCAAAAGGGAAGCGUUUGACACCAGUGUUGUUUUCUCGAAAAUCAAUUAAAAAUGGCUCGAUUUUGUAUUGCUUGAGACCUUAAAAGCUCACUGUACAUUUUUCGUGUCUUUUUUAAUGCACUUUUCGUUUAACAAGUCAACAUCAGUUUCUUUUGUUGUAAAAGGGUCAUUGGAAGGUGGCUUUCUUUUCGGAGAAAGUGUUUAUAGCCUUUGGCCUCUGCAAUCGAAGAGACUGAGGUCUGCAGCGUAGACUCUUCGGGGUUAGAUACAUUUGUGCUAAGUUAUAGCUUUUUAUAGACAACUUGUUGACUAUAAUUAGUCUUGUAGCUUACUCGCUUAUGUUAUUUUACCUACGCUUAGGAUGUUGAAGUCAUCGUAUCGCGC